RNAcentral lists this ribosomal RNA (255 nucleotides) under uncultured bacterium. RNAcentral's name for it is "partial 16S ribosomal RNA". It matches the Rfam family "Bacterial small subunit ribosomal RNA", at positions 524 to 777 of the family's 1533-position model. The record is from RNAcentral.
UACAGAGGGUGCAAGCGUUAAUCGGAAUUACUGGGCGUAAAGCGUGCGUAGACGGUUACAUAAGUCGGGUGUGAAAGCCCCGGGCUCAACCUGGGAAUUGCAUUCGAGACUGCGUAGCUAGGGUGCGGAAGAGGGAAGCGGAAUUUCCGGUGUAGCGGUGAAAUGCGUAGAUAUCGGAAGGAACACCAGUGGCGAAAAGCGGCUUCCUGGUCCAGCACCGGACGUCAGGCACGAAAGCGUGGGGAGCAAACAGGG